RNAcentral lists this ribosomal RNA (484 nucleotides) under uncultured bacterium. RNAcentral describes it as "partial 16S ribosomal RNA". It matches the Rfam family "Bacterial small subunit ribosomal RNA", at positions 30 to 507 of the family's 1533-position model. The record is from RNAcentral.
AUUGAACGCUGGCGGCAGGCCUAACACAUGCAAGUCGAGCGGAUGAAGGGAGCUUGCUCCUGGCUUCAGCGGCGGACGGGUGAGUAAUGCCUAGGAAUCUGCCUGGUAGUGGGGGAUAACGUCCGGAAACGGGCGCUAAUACCGCAUACGUCCUGAGGGAGAAAGUGGGGGAUCUUCGGAUCUCACGCUAUCAGAUGAGCCUAGGUCGGAUUAGCUAGUUGGUGGGGUAAAGGCCUACCAAGGCGACGAUCCGUAACUGGUCUGAGAGGAUGAUCAGCCACACUGGAACUGAGACACGGUACAGACUCCUACGGGAGGCAGCAGUGGGGAAUAUUGGACAAUGGGCGAAAGCCUGAUCCAGCCGUGCCGCGUGUGUGAAGAAGGUCUUCGGAUUGUAAAGCACUUUAAGUUGGGAAGAAGGGCAGUAAGUUAAAACCUUGCUGUUUUGACGUUACCAACAGAAUAAGCACCGGCUAACUUCGUG